Molecule: long non-coding RNA, 458 nt
Organism: Paramisgurnus dabryanus
Lineage: Eukaryota; Metazoa; Chordata; Actinopteri; Cypriniformes; Cobitidae
Source: RefSeq, a predicted model, not a curated record
CUUUAACUGAAGCCAGUUAUGAUGAGAGUUCAUAACAUUUAUUUACUUAUUAGAGCCGUGUUGAUGACAUCUGUGAAGGAUGAAUGCACUUUUUGGGGGGUUUAUAAUAGUAGAGACCUGUUUUACCAUUAUACAGCUUGGAAGAUCAAAGACAAAUGUGCUCGUCUUAAAGAUGAUGGAGUGGACAUAUGUAACUCGGAUUGCUCGAGACAGAAACAUGAGAAAAACAGCACUGAUCAGAAUGCAGACAGUGCACACGGUGGGGACAACAAUCUCUGUGACCAUCUCCAUGUGGCUGAUUAAUGGAUCUGAAACAAACACACACAGAGAUGAAUUCCCUUUAGUACCUUCACAAAGUGGAGCAGGCGGCGAAAUCCCCAUGGCACAGAGUAAAGCCACUCUGAUCCAGGGUCAGGCCAGCGUGGAUCCACCAGCUCAGCAAGGUCGCGGUCGGUAAA